This 1786-nucleotide long non-coding RNA is filed under the name Coffea arabica (coffee). Its description in RNAcentral is "long non-coding RNA (CARA_LNC005920)". The record is from RNAcentral. Lineage: Eukaryota; Viridiplantae; Streptophyta; Magnoliopsida; Gentianales; Rubiaceae.
UCACCUUGCUUUUGCCUUGAUUGAGUGAGGAAUCAACAAGAACCACUAAUCUAAUCCGAAGGAAGUUUCAGCAAGGUGACAAGAAGGCUUGUAGUGGAGUGAUUUGGAGAGGAAAGAUUGGUUUUUCAUUUUCUCCUAGAGGUUUGAAGGUAUUAAGUUGGCAAACUCUCCUUCUCUUUCUUAUCUUGCAUUUUAUUGGGUAGAUGACUUGAAUAUAGAAGUUUUAUGGAAGAUAUCAUGGAUUUGUGAAGAUUGGUGAAUUUUCCAGCUUUGUCUUAUAUUUUCCAGCCAUGAUAUGAUGAUAUCUAGCCUUGUUAUGGCUUGAGAGUGUUAAUAUGAAGAUUUCUAGCUAUAAUAUGACUUUUUAGCUUCCAAAUAAGAAUUUCCAGCUUUAGUUCCAAAUUUCCAGCUUUGGUAGAGAAUUUCCAGCUUAGGUAUAUGAUGAGUAUAUGCUAGGUAUAUGUUUGAUAUAGUUAGUUUUGUGCCUAAAAUAAGCACCCUAUGUAUCUUAUAACUUGUAGACUUGAUUGGGGCUGUUUUACUAUGGAAUGUUAGCUUUGCAAUUUGAGGAAAAGUUGAGGUCAAAUAGGGAAGUGAUGCCCGUUUUUCUUCUUGUGGGGUAAGUGAGUGAAAGUGGAAGUAGAGGUGCGAUUUGUGAUCGAUUUCGACUUAACUUGCUUAGGAAUGUUUGAGUUGACCUUGGUAGUGAUAUGUAAGCUGAAAUUUUGCCAAAAACUAUAUAUUUUGCAAGCGGAAAGUAAUGGCCACUUUAAACAAGAUUUUCUAGAUGCAUAUAUCAAGCUAUAAACUUAAAGAUUUCAAUCAUUUCUUUAUCAAAACCAAAAAGAGUGGGCAUGUAUUUUUAGGGUUUAUUAAGUAUUAUGAUUACUAUUUAGAUUAGUUUUAUUUACUUGAUUUUUCUUCGAUAUUAAUAAGUGAAGAUCGUAUAUUUCGAAAACCUAUUUGAUUACUUGUUGCUAUACGACAUUUUAUCGCAGAUUUUGACUCUGGCUAGGGGGUUGGACCUGAGCUUGAUUCUGAUAAAGAGUGAAUCAUUGGUGAGUGUCUCCAAUUGCAUGACCAAACUUGAUACUUGAAUGCAAUGCUUUGUUAAUGUGAUUGGAAAAUACUUGACUUGUUUGGUCGGGCAAGGGUGUAAUUUAUCGCACUUGUCCUAAUUUGAUUAAUUACUGUACAUUGGUUACGAAUGGUUUGAUGUAUAUGUGUAUGACUUGAAUACUGCUUCGGAUCCUAACCCUAUUGGUUAGUUCGUCGAAUCGAGCCAGCAAGGACUCGGUCAAGGAGACUAGCGAACCAUAGGUACUGUUUAUUGUUUAUUGUAUAAUCCACUGGAUAUGGUCCACUGGAUUCGGUAUACUCGAGUAUUACCACCAUUGUUAAUAUUGGAAUUCGGGUCCGGUAGGGAGUUUGAUUGGUGGAUGGUGUUGGAGUUAAGUGUCGCUCUACUAGACUUGCUACAAUACUUUGAAAGUUGACGGAGUGUCAACUGCUUCUUGACAAGCUGCGGCUGAAUUAGCUCGCAAGAGCGAACUAUAUCCUUAUAACUGAAAAUGUUGAAUACCUAAUUAACUUGUUGCUUGAAGUGUUAUUGUUAACUUUCAUGAACUUUUGUGCUCGCCCACUUUGAGGUUUCAAGUUUUAUAUAAUGGCCAACUUGCUACUUGUUUUUGCAUGAUAUUUUGGAACCUCACUGAGGUUUAACUCACCACAUUAGUUUUGUUUUCCUUACAGAGGAUGCGAGCAUGAGCGUGAUGCUAGGACAGGC